Pelobates cultripes (western spadefoot toad) is the source of this 98-nucleotide non-coding RNA. Lineage: Eukaryota; Metazoa; Chordata; Amphibia; Anura; Pelobatidae. The record is from the annotation of a GenBank genome assembly.
ACCAAAUGCUGCUCAACCUAACUUGCCUGCUGCUGGGGUUUCACACAGAGCAAUUACAGCAGCAGGCAAGUUAGGUUGAGCAGCAGUUGGUCAGAUAA